RNAcentral lists this ribosomal RNA (468 nucleotides) under uncultured bacterium. RNAcentral describes it as "partial 16S ribosomal RNA". The stretch from base 54 to 468 matches the Rfam family "Bacterial small subunit ribosomal RNA", at positions 39 to 507 of the family's 1533-position model. The record is from RNAcentral.
GGGGGGGGGGGGGGGGGGGCGGGGGGGGGGGGGGGCGGGGGGGGGGGGGGUGCGUGGGGGGGGGGGGCGGGUGGCGGCCGGGGGAGUGACCCGGGCGUGGGCUGCCCUUGACUUGGGGAUGACUUCAGGAAGCUGGGGCUCAUACCGGAUAGGAGCUCCUGCUGCAUGGUGGGGGUUGGACAGUUUCGGCGGUUGGGGGUGUCCUCGCGGCUUAUCAGCUUUUUGGUGGGGUAGGGGCUUACCAAGGCUUUGCCGGGUAGCCGGGCGGAGAGGUUGACCGGCCACAUUGGGACUGAGAUACGGCCCAGACUCCUACGGGAGGCAGCAGUGGGGAAUAUUGCACAAUGGGCGGAAGCCUGAUGCAGCAACGCCGCGUGCGGGAUGACGGCCUUCGGGUGGUAAACCGCUUUCGCCUGUGACGAAGCGUGAGUGACGGUAAUGGGUAAAGAAGCACCGGCUAACUACGUG